AUGCGAGAGGCCCUGGGUUCAAUUCCCAGCUCGCCCCGGGCGUGUGGUCUAGUGGUAUGAUUCUCGCUUUGGGU
RNAcentral lists this transfer RNA (74 nucleotides) under Kluyveromyces dobzhanskii CBS 2104. RNAcentral's name for it is "tRNA-Pro". The record is from RNAcentral. Lineage: Eukaryota; Fungi; Ascomycota; Saccharomycetes; Saccharomycetales; Saccharomycetaceae.